CCGUCAUCUGAGUCAUACCCAUAUAGACGCCUAAAAGGAAACUCACUACCCAUCUCCUUUUGCACUAUGUACGCAUCUGUGACGCCCUCGAUUUGAUCGUACGCUAAUCAUACACGCAAAUGCGUACGACCAAGCUCAAGGACUCAUGGGAAGAUAUCACAACACAACUCUAGACACAAAUAAAACAUACAAGCUUCAUAUUACAAGCCAGGGGCCUCGAGGGCUAGAAUACAGAAGCUCGAUAUACACACGAGCCAGCGGAAGCAACAAAUAUCUGAGUACAGACAUGAAACAUGAUAAUGCCUUAGAGAAGGCUAGCACAUAAGAUACAGCGAUCGAACGAGGCGAGGCCUCCUACCUGGGAACCUCCUAAACUACUCUUGGUCGUCAGCGGCCUCACGUAGUAGUAGGCACCAUCGGGGUAGCAGUCGUCAUCGGUUGGAUACGCCAUCUCCUGGGCUCCAUCAUCUAGUCCCAGCAACGUAUCAAGGGGAAAGGGGGAGCGAAGCAACGAUGAGUACUCAUCCAAAGUACUCGCAAGACUGACAUUAGAACUAUGCUAAGUAUGCACCAGUAUCGAAGGAAAGGGGUUUUUAUGUGGACUGACUACAACAAUGCGAGAAUAGAGAGAGGGGACUAGUCCUAUCGAAGACUCGCAUCUUCAUGGGUCUUACAGCAAUAGACGAGAGUAGAGUUAACAACACAAAAAUAUAGUCAUAUUGUUGCAGCAAUAUUAAUGAGGUCACGCCCAGAGAUCCUUCCUCGACUCCCUAUGAGGAAGCAAUCCCGGAGCAAACAUUCCAGUUAAGUAACAGUUGUAGUUGUAUAAGAUCGGGGCACAACUCCAAGUCAUCCGGUAACCGUGGACACGACUAUUUAAAUAGUUAAUUUUCGUCCCUGCAGGGGUGCACCAUCUUACCCAUCAUGCUUGAUAAACUCUCGCAAGACACACUUUCCAGGGUCAUGCCCGGCCUCGGAACAUCAACACGUUGCAACCCUACCUAGGCUCAACACAGAGGCUAGCCCGCCGGUUGAUACGUCUCCGUCGUAUCUAUAAUUUUUUAUUGUUUCAUGCCAAUAUUCUACAACUUUCAUAUACUUUUGGUAACUUUUUAUACUAUUUUUGGCACUAACAUAUUGAUCUAGUGCCCAGUGCAGUUCCUGUUUGUUGCAUGUUUUUUGUUUUGCAGAAUAUCCAUACCAAACGAAGUCCAAACGCAAUAAAAAACCUACGGGGAUUUUUUUUGGAAUAUUUAUGAUUUUUGGGAAGAAGAAUCAACGCGAAACGAUGCCCGAGGGGGGCGCACCUGGCAGGCUCGUGACCAACCCCUAAAGCGGUUGGGGCCCUUAUUUCGCCACAAGAAAGCUAAUAUCCGGAAGAAAAUCGUGUUAAAAGGACACCUCAAUCAGAGUUACGGAUCUUCGGGAAUUUAAGAAACGGUGAAAGGCCAGAAUCUAGGAGUGCAGAAACAGAAGGACACAGAGAGAGAGAUCCAAUCUCAAAGGGGCUCUCGCCCCUCCGCUGCCAUGGAGACCAUGGACCAGAGGGGAAACCCUUCUCCCAUCUAGGGAGGAGGUCAAGGAAGAAGGGGGGGGGGGGGGGGGCUCUCCCCCUCUCUCCCGGCGGCGCCGGAACACCGCCCAGGACAUCAUCGUGUGACGGCGAUCUACACCAACACCUCCGUCAUCUUCACCAACACCUCCAUCACCUUCCCCCAUCUAUAUUCAGCGGUCCACUCUCCCACAACCCGCUAUACCCUCUACUUGAACAUGGUGCUUUAUGCUUCAUAUUAUUAUCCAAUGAUGUGUUGCCAUCCUAUGAUGUCUGAGUAGAUUUUCGUUGUCCUACCGGUGAUUGAUGAAUUGCUAUGAUUGGUUUAAUUUGCUUGUGGUUAUGUUGUUGUCCUUUGGUGCCCAUCAUAUGAGCGCGCGCGUGGAUCACACCAUAGGGUUAGUAGUACGUUGAUAGGACUACGUAUUGGAGGGCAAGGGUGACAGAAGCUUCAGCCUAGCAUAGAAAUUGAUGCAUACAGGAUUGAAGGGGGACCAAUAUAUCUUAUUGUUAUGGUUGGGUUUUACCUUAAUGAACAUUAGUAGUUGCGGAUGCUUGCUAAUAGUUCCAAUCAUAAGUGCAUAGAGUUCCAAGUAAGGGAUGACAUGCUAGCAGUGGCCUCUCCCACAUAAAACUUGUUAUCGGUCUAGUAACGUAGUCAAUUGGUUAGGGACAAUUCCGAAACUCCUACCACCACUUUCCCACACUCGUUAAACUAGCGUAAUUGUUUCUUUAUCUAAACAUCCCCUAGUUUUUAUUUAUGUGUUCUUUAUUAUCUUGCAAACCUAUCCUAUCACACCUACAAAGUACUUCUAGUUUCAUGCUUGUUCUAGGUAAAGCGAACGUAAAGUGUGCGUAGAGUUGUAUCGGUGGUCGAUAGAACUUGAGGGAAUAUUUGUCCUACCUUAAGCUCCUCGUUGGGUUCGACACUCUUACUUAUCGAGAAAGGCUACAAUUGAUCCCCUAUAUUUGUGGGUUAUUACCGGUCUAACUCCUAAACGCGCACGGUUCAUGGGCCCAUCACCCUUUGCGCUCCUGCACGUUGCGCGGGCGGCCGAUGUCAGUCCUGGCGCCUCUUAUACAAGAAUGAUGCUUAUCCAGACCACUCGGGCGCGUGCCGCUCCAUUGCUGACGUUUGAAGAGCUUCAACCCAUACCACGACGUCGAGUACCCAUAAUUUCUCCCACGUCAACGGUGAGUGCAAAAAGGUCUACAACCAACCGAGAUCAAAUACGCAAAUCCAUUAGCAUUUUAAUUUACGCAACAUCACAUCCACGCGGGAAUCCACCCGCAACACACCAUUCAUCAAGUUCCCAUUAACAAGAUCAAGUAGUUGUGCAGCUGUAACAUCAUAGGGAACCGAGGUGUCACCCUCGAUGGAUUCCAAACGAUGUAAUCGUCAAGGUGGCCAAGGAGGGAUCACCCUCAAUGGUCCACGCUUGAUGGGUUGUGCGACAGAGUAGUUUAUCGGAGGUGGUGAAGAAGGAAUCACCCUCCGAGAACCACCAUCGGUCAACUACACUAUAGAGCUAACAUCAGGAGUACGUAUCAAGGUGUCACGCUCGGUACUUGAUAGUAGCUCUACAGUGUCGUACAACUAAGGGGGUGUGAGUGUUGUGACGGGUCUUGGCUCGUCGAUUAGAUGAUCGAGGCUUGAUGAAAAAGCAGGGGUAACUGGACUAAUGGUCAAAGGGUAUCACUGCUCCACCUAUACUAAGCAGUUUAAAGUGUGGUAGAGUAGAGUUGCAGUUCAUCAUAAACAGGCUACGCAUCAGAUAUAGGAGCUAACUACAACAGUAGCAAAAUCUAAUGCAAGCAUGAGGGAGAAAGAAAUAGGCAAUGUAGGAAUAAUCAAUGGGGGUUUGCUUGCCUUGUUUCUCUGCGGCAAAGGGUGGUCGUCAGGAGAGUAGUCGUCCCGGCAGCAGCGUCAGUUUUGGGGUCUACCGGUAAGAAGAAGGGAAAGAAACAAUAAAUACAAUGCACAAAUGCAACACGAUGAAUGACAUGGCAAUAUGCAGGGCUAGGCAUGAGCUAACGCGGUAUCACCCGUCAUAGACGGAUCGGGAAAAUAUCUAACGGUAUUUCCCGGAUAUGUGGCUAAUACCGGACAUGUGAUGGAAAAGUUCCACAUUCGCUAUGAUAGAGACGCGUGACACAAGAACAAACCGCGUAUCCGGGUUCGUCUGGUUUUUUUAUCAACUUUCAUGUAUAAAUUAUUUUCAUUCGAAUUACGGAUUAUUUUAUAUUAAUUUUUAAAGUUUUAUUAAUUAAUUAAGAAUUAACAGAUUUAAUUAAAUCCAAUAAUUAUAAAUGACAUCAACAUGAUGUCACUCUGACAUCAGCAGUCAAUAGUCAGUUGAGUGGUCAACUCUGACUUGUGGGUCUCAUAUGUCAUACCCACAUUUUUAAUUUAGUUUAAUCUUUACCUACUAAUAAAGCACGGAUAACUUCUGUCCGUACGUCAUCGAAGUUGCCCCUGAAGUUGGUCAAAAUUACCCACCAAUGCCGCCCGUAAGUCAAAAAACGAUUCAGUUUUCGGAUUUCAAAAAUCAUCGCGCCGUUAUAUGUUCUUAAUAGACUGAUAUACCAACAUGAGCUAGCCCGAUGGCCAAAGCCUCAACCCUCCACACUGGAGACCAGGGGUUCGAUCCCUGGUUCUCACACCCUUUUUCUCUUCUUUUUCCCUUAUGCAUGGGCCAGGCCAUGUGCAGGUAUUUUUUUACUUUAUAUUCCAGUUUAACGGCACCCCUGUUUAGUUGUUUUUUUUACUUUCUUAUUCAUGUUUUGAUUUUCUUCUCUAAAUUAAUUCCAGAUUUCAAAAGAACAAAAAAAAAUAAAAGUUGUCAGUUUAAAAAAAGUAGAAAAAUGAUAAACUGUUUGUGUAUUUAAAAAAUAUUCGGAAAGUCAUAAAAUGUUCAUGAAUUCAAAAAUUGCUCACAUAUUAUAAAACAAAUCAUGAUUUCAAAUAGAUUUUCAUGAAAUAAAAAAUGUUCAUGAUUUUUAAAAAUGAUCAGAUAUUCAAAAAAUAUUAAAGAAUUUAAAAAACAUCUCUAUCAACUUUUAGAAAAUGUUUCCAAAAAUUAAAACACAUCUCUAAAUAAUAAACAUAACUUACUGUCGCUUACAUUUUAUUAGAAAAUCUCUAGAGGUCAUUUUAUGAUUUUAUUUAGUCCCUCGCGUUGGGUACAAAAAGGUGUCUGUGAUUUACAAUUUGCUCAGCCAUAAAAUAUUUUGUUGUGACCCCUUAACAAAUCAAGUCACGAUGAGCAUUAUAUUUUUUGUUUUUGAAAUUACAUUUUAAAAGUGUCUUAUCUCAUCAUACCAUCACUCAGAUAUACUUUGUGAAAUAACAUUUCAAAAACCUUAUGUCAUAUUUGCAUUGGAUUCAUACUUCUUUAUAUCUAUCACACUUGUAUAACCUGAUAGUUUUUCUUAUUUAUCACACCUGUAUAACCUGAUAAUUUUUUUUCCGUUACACCUUUAUAACCUGAUAGUUUUUCUUCCGUUGCAACGCACAGACAUUUUUGCUAGGUAAUAAUUAAAUAGAUUAGUUCAAGAGGAUGGGACCCACAUGUCAUACACUACUUAAGUUAAUUAACUAACAAAUUUAACUUAAGUAUAUUAGGUUCAAUUAACCUAAUUAAUUAGGCACAUUGAUUACCCUAAUUAAUUACUAUGAUUAAAUUAGAUAGAAUUACUUCAUGAUUUAAUUCAUAGUCUAAUUAAUUAAUUGGGGGGGUUAACUAUUUAAUAAAUAGUUUUAAAUUCUUUUUUAUCCUUUUUUUUUGUUAACGGGCAUUGGGCCCCAUUGUCAUUCUCACGGGAAGGUGGCAAUCUGCCCCAAAUGCCUAAACACAGGGGGGGGCGAAUCCCUGUGGUUUAACAGGAACAGCCCCGAGGCGAGGCCAUCCGGGUUGUGGCCGUUGCCGGAGCGAGGCGGUGGCCGGCCGCAGCGUGCGGGGAGGCUGUCAACGGUAGGGCCACGAGGCCGGGCGGUGGCCAACCGCAGUGUGCGGGGGAGGCUGUCAACAGUGAGGCCAUGGGGCAGGGCGGUCGGAGCAGUUGCGGGGGGAGGCGAGGAGCGGCAGCUAGCGGGGGGGAAGGGGAGAGCUCGCUAGAGCGAGGCGAGGUGGUGCGGCCGAGACGGGGCGUGCGGUGGCCGGGAACGCGAAGGGAGGGUCGGAGGCGGAGCUGUGGGGGCUACCGGAGUGAGGGGCGAGGUCGUCGGGAGGCAUCGACGACGGAUCCGGACGGAGGGGAGGAAGAGGAGGGGUGGUCGGGGCCUGUGUGCUCACCACCGAGCAGGGGAGGCAGAGGCUCGAGGGGGAGGACGUUAGCAUGGUGGCGAGGUGGAGGAGGAGGCAACCGGCGACGGAGGCGGUAGGCAGCGGCGGGAAGGAGNN
Molecule: long non-coding RNA, 5955 nt
Filed under: Hordeum vulgare
Lineage: Eukaryota; Viridiplantae; Streptophyta; Magnoliopsida; Poales; Poaceae
Description: long non-coding RNA (HVUL_LNC002971)
Source: RNAcentral